This 22-nucleotide non-coding RNA is filed under the name Arabidopsis thaliana (thale cress). The record is from RNAcentral. Lineage: Eukaryota; Viridiplantae; Streptophyta; Magnoliopsida; Brassicales; Brassicaceae.
AGAAUCAUCACCAAAGACAAGG